UCACUCAACCAUGUGACGUUACCAAACUGUUGCCUCGGCGGGGUCACGCCCCGGGUGCGNAAAAGCCCCGGAACCAGGCGCCCGCCGGAGGAACCAACCAAACUCUUUCUGUAGUCCCCUCGCGGACGUAUUUCUUACAGCUCUGAGCAAAAAUUCAAAAUGAAUCAAAACUUUCAACAACGGAUCUCUUGGUUCUGGCAUCGAUGAAGAACGCAGCGAAAUGCGAUAAGUAAUGUGAAUUGCAGAAUUCAGUGAAUCAUCGAAUCUUUGAACGCACAUUGCGCCCGCCAGUAUUCUGGCGGGCAUGCCUGUCCGAGCGUCAUUUCAACCCUCGAACCCCUCCGGGGGAUCGGCGUUGGGGAUCGGGACCCCUCACCGGGUGCCGGCCCUGAAAUACAGUGGCGGUCUCGCCGCAGCCUCUCCUGCGCAGUAGUUUGCACAACUCGCACCGGGAGCGCGGCGCGUCCACGUCCGUAAAACACCCAACUUCUGAAAUGUUGACCUCGGAUCAGGUAGGAAUACCCGCUGAACUUAAGCAUAUCAAUAA
Molecule: ribosomal RNA, 547 nt
Filed under: Trichoderma sp. AH-Group-7
Lineage: Eukaryota; Fungi; Ascomycota; Sordariomycetes; Hypocreales; Hypocreaceae
Description: eukaryotic LSU rRNA
Rfam family: 5.8S ribosomal RNA (bases 169-322)
Source: RNAcentral